UUCGACACACUAUCAUUAACUGAAUCCAUAGGUUAAUGAGGCGAACCGGGGGAACUGAAACAUCUAAGUACCCCGAGGAAAAGAAAUCAACCGAGAUUCCCCCAGUAGCGGCGAGCGAACGGGGAGCAGCCCAGAGCCUGAAUCAGUGUGUGUGUUAGUGGAAGCGUCUGGAAAGGCGCGCGAUACAGGGUGACAGCCCCGUACACAAAAAUGCACAUGCUGUGAGCUCGAUGAGUAGGGCGGGACACGUGGUAUCCUGUCUGAAUAUGGGGGGACCAUCCUCCAAGGCUAAAUACUCCUGACUGACCGAUAGUGAACCAGUACCGUGAGGGAAAGGCGAAAAGAACCCCGGCGAGGGGAGUGAAAAAGAACCUGAAACCGUGUACGU
This 388-nucleotide ribosomal RNA is filed under the name Escherichia coli. RNAcentral's name for it is "partial 23S ribosomal RNA". It matches the Rfam family "Bacterial large subunit ribosomal RNA", at positions 139 to 565 of the family's 2925-position model. The record is from RNAcentral. Lineage: Bacteria; Pseudomonadati; Pseudomonadota; Gammaproteobacteria; Enterobacterales; Enterobacteriaceae.